Molecule: long non-coding RNA, 1417 nt
Organism: Felis catus (domestic cat)
Lineage: Eukaryota; Metazoa; Chordata; Mammalia; Carnivora; Felidae
Exons: 2
Source: RefSeq, a predicted model, not a curated record
GGUCCCACUGCAACACACAUGGAGAGCGUCAGCGGGGUAGGUUGACACAGCGACCCUGACUGAUCCAAAGGACAGAGCUGCUGAGGAGGAGGAGGAGAUCUGCAGCCCAUGUGAAAUUAGAGGAAAUGAACACAGCGCCAGAAAAGCUCACCUCCCUUGGCCGAGUGUCUGCCAGAAGCCCCAGGUUUCUUGGGCUCAGCAGCAGCUGCAGUGGAACCGGCACCUGAAAGUCAUCCUUCCACAGGGAAAGCAGCAUGUGCAGGAGCCUGCGAGCCUGUCCUCUCUCCAGCCGGUGCUGCACCGGGGGCCCGAGGACAGGGAUCUGGUCUGCCACUUUGGGCAAAGAAAAAAGUCAAGCUUUGAGAAAUGGAGGUAGGGUCACCUAGCUGGCCCCUGGGAGGUAGAAGAGAACAAAGCUCCAUGUUUCUAAUCUAGCUUGUACCAAAACCUGAGAUCUGGGGGAUGUGACAGAAGGGUGAUGUAAUGACAGAGAGCCAUACCAAGGAGGGAUGCUAACUCCACCGAGCACUUUGCCAGAUGCUGCUCUGCAGGCGGGCACAGGAACUGUGGAGAAGAGGCUGGACGUUAGCACUAUCCUUACAGCAGCAGACUUGAGCUGAUGCAGCUCUGGUGACUAGCACUGGACAAGGACACAAGUACAAAGUCGUGUUAGGUCUCACCUGGCGGCACCGCAGUGUCUGGCCCAGCUGGCCCAGGAGCUGCUCCAGAUGCUCCGGAGAGACUCCCUCCUCAGGGUCCCGGGGCCCCACAGCCAGAGCGAGCACAUCCUGGAGAGAGCAGGGGUGGAAGCAGAGCGAGACUUCAUACCUGGCUGGGACCGAGGAGGCCACCGAGAAGCCAGUGGAAAGAGGCAGAAGGAAAAGGAAGACAGGGUCCCCGGAUGAAGCGGCCGGGCCAAGGUGCCUUAGACCUGGGACUCGGGCAGGACCGCACAGCUGGGAGAAGAAGCCAACCAAGUGGACAGCAACAGAGGGAACAGAUGGAGCAGGUCAGCUGAGGGACAACAUGCUGCCUUGAGAGCUCAAGAGAUGUCACUCGUCUUGGGACAAAGCCACACCCAUCCACUUCCCAGAGAGCCUUAUCCUGAAAGCAUUUAGGAGAACCGUCUGGCUACGUGUUAUAUUUUCUAUCCCCUAUGCUUCUCUGUUCAUCUUCUUGGGAGAGUCCGGCUUCAGUACAGAAAACCACUUAGCCUUUUCUUCUCCCCACUAUAUACUCUCCAUUUUUGUCAUUCCUUCUUAGUCCCUAGUCCUUAUCUUUGGCUCCACCAAACAGUAAAUAGUUGAGGGUUUGCAGGCCUUAACAUCUCUGCUGCUGUAGCACAAAAACAGCCCUGGACAAUUCAUCAGUGAACAAGUGUGGCUGUGUUCCAAUAAAACUUGAUUUAUAGAAAUCA